This 462-nucleotide non-coding RNA is filed under the name Dunaliella sp. IOAC699S. RNAcentral's name for it is "partial 18S ribosomal RNA". The stretch from base 23 to 356 matches the Rfam family "Group I catalytic intron". From Rfam's summary of the family: Group I catalytic introns are large self-splicing ribozymes. They catalyse their own excision from mRNA, tRNA and rRNA precursors in a wide range of organisms. The core secondary structure consists of 9 paired regions (P1-P9). The record is from RNAcentral. Lineage: Eukaryota; Viridiplantae; Chlorophyta; Chlorophyceae; Chlamydomonadales; Dunaliellaceae.
GAAGUCGUAACAAGGUUUCCGUAUAUUCACUUGCGGAUGAUAGGGGCAGUGAAAAGCUGCUAACCCCUAGUGAGUUCUCCACUCUUUUGUACACAGAGAGCUCGCAACACCAUCAAAUUGCCGGGACAUCCUGUUCAUGCUGCUGGUACCUCCAGGCAGAGGGAAACCUUGCUCUGGAACCAUGGUGAAAGCCGUGGGUAUGGUAAAAAUCUAGCAGUUAGGGACGAUCGGCAGCCAAGCGCUAAUGGAGCCUCAUUCUUGAGGCUCUGAGGCGUGCAGUUCACAGACUAAAUGGUGGUGGGUUCCCUUCACACUGGGAGCUUAAGAUAUAGUCGGUCCCCCACCGCAAGGUGGGCUCAUGGGAGGAUAGCCUGGUAAAGGCUGGAGAGCCCAUGAGCAGCUUGGUGUGUGUCCACUCAACCAAGCUGGGGUAAACGAGGUGAACCUGCGGAAGGAUCAUUG